Molecule: long non-coding RNA, 1381 nt
Organism: Struthio camelus australis
Lineage: Eukaryota; Metazoa; Chordata; Aves; Struthioniformes; Struthionidae
Source: RefSeq, a predicted model, not a curated record
AAUGCCUUCACAGAGAGUUUUCGUAAACAUCUAAGAGGUUAGGCAUCUUGGUAGAUACAACAAUGAAAUGACUCCAGUUAUUGGUUGGAAAUAUUAAUUGUUCUCCUGGUGCUUGGAUAAGGAAGUGCAUACCAUAAUCUCAGCUUCAGAGACUAUGCAGCUGGGAGCCCAACAAAUAGGCAGACUGACUCUUCUUGUUACAAAGCAGCAGGGGAAGAAGUGGGAGCACAGGCUUCGGAGAGGAACGGUAAAUGAAUGCAUUGCUUCACUGAAGACGAUAGACACAAAAACCUGAACACUGCCAAAGCAAUGCCUCCCAAGAUCACAAGGAUUAUGUGAUUUCUGAUGACUGAUUCUAGCAGAGAGAACAUUUGUUACGCACGGCUAAAUUUUCUUGCAAUCAACUUCCCAAAAGUAACCAGUGAAUCUCCAGGGCAAUGAGGAUCCCAGACUGAAAACGACUGGCAUAGACUGAAGGCCAGUCCUUCUGCUGGAACAUCUCAGACACACGUCAGAUGCUGCAGUGUCUUAACAGCUUUCAGCUAUCCUCUCUCCAAAACACCUCACCUUGCUACCGCAUAUUCGACGGCUGGUAAUCCAAUCUCCAGAUUUAGACUCUUUCCUCCUAACACGAUAAAAGUUAUGAGUUUAAUUAUGAUGUCUGAGAAAUGCUACCACCAAACACAGUUCCAAUGAAACCCAAGUUUAUAUCUCUCAGGAGUGCUGACUGUUUCAGACUACUCUGGCUUACUGUUAUUUUGGAGAUUGCUGAGUCAAGUCAACAAGCACCCAUUUGUAUUAUUCUGAGUCUCUAGAGAAAGAGGGUAAACAGUGCGGCACCUUACUCAGUGCCAGACACAAAUAUAUUUUUGCCUGUACCUCUCCUGAAGCAGAUUUAAACUAUGAGUUUGACCCUGAGUACCUCCAGCUUAUUAUUGAGACCUUGGCUUGUUGAUAUUGCCUUGUUGAUAUUGUGAAGGAUGACAGUAAACGGUGCAUUCUAUAUCAUCAGAUUGAAAUUGUCAAGACCUUUUUAUUAUCUCCCAACACUUCUUACUUUAGGGCACACUUCAGCUCGGAGGCUUUUGCAAAGAAUUUUCAGUGUUUUGAGCUUAAUAGCACCUCUCUUAUAUUGUAUCUCCUGGCAUCUGCUGACCAGCCUAUCAAAUGAAAAUAUAAAAGACUGGAUAUGAAUUGGUGGUCAGUUAGAACUGCACUCCUAUGUUCUGCCUUCAUCCAAAUCAGUAGAUGGACUGAAGUCUCUCCAAGCCUAUGGGCUGCAAGGGCCUGAGCUGCGUAGCUGCAUUCAACAUCUUCAGGCCACUCUUCAUUUGCUUAUCAGAUUGUUAAAGAAUAAAUUCUUCUUGUCAUUUUGUGCAGU